UACAGAGGGUACAAACGUUGUUCGGAAUCACUGGGCUUAAAGCGCACGUAGGUGGUUCGGUAAGUGCGAUGUGAAAGCCCCCGGCCCAACCGGGGAACUGCAUCGCAGACUGCCGAGCUUGAGAGCGGUAGGGGAGACUAGAACUCCUGGUGGAGCGGUGAAAUGCGUAGAUAUCAGGAGGAAUACCGGUGGCGAAGGCGAGUCUCUGGUCCGCUUCUGACACUUAGGUGCGAAAGCGUGGGGAGCAAACAGG
This 253-nucleotide ribosomal RNA is filed under the name uncultured bacterium. RNAcentral's name for it is "partial 16S ribosomal RNA". It matches the Rfam family "Bacterial small subunit ribosomal RNA", at positions 524 to 776 of the family's 1533-position model. The record is from RNAcentral.